This 1681-nucleotide long non-coding RNA is filed under the name Homo sapiens (human). RNAcentral's name for it is "HSALNT0306871". The record is from RNAcentral. Lineage: Eukaryota; Metazoa; Chordata; Mammalia; Primates; Hominidae.
AGCCGUGGGGGAGGGGAAAGGGCGCGCGGCCUCGGAUGCGCAGACCCUGGGCCGGCGACUCGGGGACCCUGCUCCCUCUUAGCUAAAAAUGACGUCGGCGUUCAGCUCCUCCAACCUCACGUGGACAGGCGAGGGAACCGAGACCCAGAGAGGGCAGGGGACUUUGGCAAACUCACACAGCCCACCGCAGGCAACUGGAACUGAAACCCAGGACUCCGUCUCUUGCCAGUGAAAGUUAUGUUAGGAAGCAGUGAGGGGUCUAAAGCAGUAUGAAAGGCAAAGAGAAAAGGUGAUUGUUCCCUCUUGAAUGGCCCUUGGAAGCUGAGUAUCUGGAUUCACCCUCCCUAGGGAAUUUCCCGAUUGUCUUGCAGGCUUACACACUCAUCAAGAUGACAAAAAUAAUGACAGUAACACUUAUGUGGAACUUGACUUUUUCCCAGGUGCUGCUCUAAGCAUUUACUGUGUUUGUUUUACAGGAAGGAAGACUGUACACAGAGAAUAAAUAACUUGGCCAAGCCAUUCAGCUAGGAAGUUGUAGAUCCUAAAUUAAGAGUUCAAGGUCUUAAUGGCUACUCUAUGCGGCCUCUCAUAGUCUUUUCAAGGGUUUUGGAGAAGAAUAAAAGAUCAGGUAUGGCUUCUCCCUCCCCCAGCUCUCUAUUGUUCCCUAAAGGAUUAUUCAUUCGUUCAUUCAUUCCUACAUCCUCCCAUUUAUUCCAGUCAUCCACAGAUGUUUGAGUGGUUACAAUGUGCCAGCCUCCCUUCUAGGUACUGGAGAUAAAGUGGGACAAGAGAGGUGAGGUCUGGACCCUUGGCACUUUCACGAUAAAAUACACAGAUGAGUCAAUGGUGUUACUGGACCCUGUGAACUGAUGCUGUGAAGAGAGGCCAUUUAACACGGACUACGGGGAAUGGUGCCACAGGGGGCUCAGUGCUGCCCUUCACUCUCAGCAUUUUGCUCACUCAGCAUUGAUGACAGGAUGUCCCAAAAGUAACAAAAGAUGGGAGCCAGUCCUCUCAUAGCUGUUUCUUCAAUCAUCCCAUCAACAGCUCUUCAUUUAUUGAACUACCUUCCUUUUCCAAAGAGGUAAUGCUGAGAUCAGUCAGAAAGGCUUUCUGAGAAAACUGGCUUGGAUUUCUGGGUCUGUUGCAGUCAAUUCAAGAUGAACUGGCUUGUAUCAAUGAAGCGCUCAAUGCAGUUCACAAAACAGGCCUCAGCCCGACUGUCCAACUUUGGCCCAGGCUUGUCCAUGCACUUCUCCCAACAAAGUUCAGUCAUCUGGUGCACCAGCUGCUGGAAGCGCUGCUUUUGAGUCUCUACCUCAAUGAAAAUGCUGCAACUGCGGGUCCACUGCACCCAAACCCGCCGCAGAGGAAGAGCAGGAGGAAUCCAUCCCAGGACAACCAUGCUUGCAGAGACGAACUCCGCACCAACCUUCACGUGUCUCCACGACCUAGUUAAUCAAUUUAAAAUGAGGUCACUAGGGUGGGCCCCAAUCCAAUAUGACUGAUAACUUUAUAAAAAGGAGAGAUUUGGAUACAGAAAGAGACAGAGUGAAAACCAUGUGAAGAAACAUAGGAAAAGAUGGCAGCUACAAGCCAAGGAGAAGCUUGCAGUGUGUAUUCAUCUGUUCUCAUGCUGUUAAUAAAGACAUACCUGAGACUGGGUAAUUUAUAAAGGAAA